Molecule: unclassified non-coding RNA, 329 nt
Filed under: soil metagenome
Description: partial contains 5.8S ribosomal RNA, internal transcribed spacer 2, and large subunit ribosomal RNA
Rfam family: 5.8S ribosomal RNA (bases 1-120)
Source: RNAcentral
GAUGAAGAACGCAGCGAAAUGCGAUAAGUAAUGUGAAUUGCAGAAUUCAGUGAAUCAUCGAAUCUUUGAACGCACAUUGCGCCCCUUGGUAUUCCGAGGGGCAUGCCUGUUCGAGCGUCAUUAUAACCCCUCAAGCUCAGCUUGGUGUUGGGGCCUGCUGCACUGGCAGCCCUUAAAAUCAGUGGCGGCGCCAUCUGGCUCUAAGCGUAGUAAUUCUUCUCGCUAUGGAGUCCUGGUGGAUGCUUGCCAUAAACCCCCAAUUUUUCUAUGGUUGACCUCGGAUCAGGUAGGGAUACCCGCUGAACUUAAGCAUAUCAAUAAGCGGAGGA